RNAcentral lists this ribosomal RNA (253 nucleotides) under uncultured Gemmata sp. RNAcentral describes it as "partial 16S ribosomal RNA". It matches the Rfam family "Bacterial small subunit ribosomal RNA", at positions 524 to 776 of the family's 1533-position model. The record is from RNAcentral. Lineage: Bacteria; Pseudomonadati; Planctomycetota; Planctomycetia; Gemmatales; Gemmataceae.
GACGAACCGUGCGAACGUUGUUCGGAAUCACUGGGCUUAAAGGGUGUGUAGGCGGUCUGUCAAGUCAGGGGUGAAAUCUUUCGGCUCAACCGGAAAACUGCCUUUGAUACUGAUAGGCUCGAGCGGGGUAGGGGUUGCGGGAACUACCAGUGGAGCGGUGAAAUGCGUUGAUAUUGGUAGGAACGCCGGUGGCGAAAGCGCGCAACUGGACCUCUUCUGACGCUGAAACACGAAAGCUAGGGGAGCAAACGGG